AUUGAACGCUGGCGGCAUGCUUUACACAUGCAAGUCGAACGGCAGCGCGGGCUUCGGCCUGGCGGCGAGUGGCGAACGGGUGAGUAAUACAUCGGAACGUGCCCAGUAGUGGGGGCUAGCUCGGCGAAAGCCGGAUUAAUACCGCAUACGACCUGAGGGUGAAAGCGGGGGAUCUUCGGACCUCGCGCUCUUGGAGCGGCCGAUGGCGGAUUAGCUAGUUGGUGGGGUAAAGGCCUACCAAGGCGACGAUCUGUAGCUGGUCUGAGAGGACGACCAGCCACACUGGGACUGAGACACGGCCCAGACUCCUACGGGAGGCAGCAGUGGGGAAUUUUGGACAAUGGGCGAAAGCCUGAUCCAGCAAUGCCGCGUGUGUGAUGAAGGCCUUCGGGUUGUAAAGCACUUUUGGCGGGAACGAAAAGGACUGUGCCAAUACCACGGUUCGAUGACGGUACCCGCAGAAUAAGCACCGGCUAACUACGUG
Molecule: ribosomal RNA, 484 nt
Filed under: uncultured bacterium
Lineage: Bacteria
Description: partial 16S ribosomal RNA
Rfam family: Bacterial small subunit ribosomal RNA
Source: RNAcentral